This is a long non-coding RNA of Juglans microcarpa x Juglans regia, 978 nucleotides long. RefSeq lists it as uncharacterized. The transcript is spliced from 3 exons. Lineage: Eukaryota; Viridiplantae; Streptophyta; Magnoliopsida; Fagales; Juglandaceae. The record is from RefSeq and is a predicted model, not a curated record.
AAAAAAACGUACUAAAUCUAAAAUUGGUAGCAGAAUGCCAAAAUCCCUAGACCAUGGUCCAUAGCCACAAUUUAAGAUGUGAUCUAUAAUAGAACGUGAUUAAUCGGAAUUAUUUAUAUUCGGAGGCUAGCUAAGCUAAUUUAAGAAACCUCAGGGGGGGGUGCGCAAGCAAGGGUUUCAUAUUCAUCCUUUCAUUCUCUCUCUCUCUCUCGCACAGCGCAGACAUGGACGACGAAGACGAGCUACUAUGAUAGAUUCCGGAGUGGACUUGUCCUAUUUCGACGGGCAAGGCCUCACUCCGCUCAUGCACGCGGCCAAGCACGGCCAUGCCCUCCCUUCUCGCAUCUGGCGCGCCCCGGGAACACCCUCUCCGGUGAUCUCGCUGUGGAAGCUGGCUACCUGGGCGCUUCUGAUAUCCUCCUCAACACCGCUUCACUUUUAGUGAGGCUAAGCUGAUGGACGCUGACAAGAAGGCUGUCAUGAUGGCUUGGGAGAAACCUUUGGUGGAGGCUCAUGCAAAAGCUGUUUUUUGCUCAGGCGGUGGUCACAUUCUGAUCAUUGGAUUUGGAAUGGGUCUUCGGGAUACUGCCAUUCAGAAUUGUGUACCAGUCACGCGCACUAUUGUUGAAGCCCACCUGGAAAGUUCAUGCAUGAAUGCUCCGCACUGGUUGGAGUGACCGGGAUAAUGUGAAGAUAAUAUGUGGCAGUUGGCAAGAUCAUGUUCUUUAUCAACUUGAAUCUUAUGAUGGUAACUCCUGAAUCUCAGUUGCACUUUUGCCCACGAACAAAUAAUCACAUUUAUGUUUUAUGCAACUAGUGUACACCCAUGUUCAUUUAAACACACAGUUAUGUGUUUUCAUAUCUAUGUCUACUUAGUUUGUGUUUUAAUAGUACCUAUGAUUGAAUCAUAUGAGUGAUGACCAGAAUGUUCACUUUAGGCUCCUACAAGUGAAAUCUACAUGAAAGAUUGGGAUGGUA